UCCUUCUGAUGUUCGGAUGUGUUCGGAGUCUUCCUUCUGGUGGGUUCGCGGUCCGGCUGGCUCAGGAGCGAAGCUGCAGACCUUCACGGAACUUGUGAGUUAUGGCAAAAGAUAUUAUGACUCCCAUGCUGCGGAUGAAGAAGUUGAUGCCCGUGACAGACCAAAAGUAACAAAACAACAACAAAAAACCAGGCGGGUCGUGGUGGCUCACGCCUGUAAUCCCAGCACUUUGGGAGGCCAAGGUAAUCCCCUUCAGUGACAGCAGAGUGACCCAGGCCACCUUCUUUGAGGAUUUCGGAGCUGCAGCCCACAGCCAGGGCCAUGGUGGACUCAGCUCUACACCCCGUGCCCAUGAGUCUCUGCGACUAACGAUUUCCCCAGACGCUCCCAGGUUCCUCCUGAUCUGCAGCAUUGCCGUCCCUGCCGCUGACCAGGAAGCCCUCUGUGCUCCCAUAGCCCCUUCAGAAACAUGUGACCUCCUGAGUCCUAAGUCUUCAGCAGAAACAGCAGCUGCCCCAUAGCUCGAGUGGCAGCAGGACCCUCUCUGCCCUGGUCU
Molecule: long non-coding RNA, 556 nt
Filed under: Pongo abelii (Sumatran orangutan)
Lineage: Eukaryota; Metazoa; Chordata; Mammalia; Primates; Hominidae
Description: lincRNA
Source: RNAcentral